This 2888-nucleotide ribosomal RNA is filed under the name Salmonella enterica. RNAcentral describes it as "bacterial LSU rRNA". It matches the Rfam family "Bacterial large subunit ribosomal RNA". Lineage: Bacteria; Pseudomonadati; Pseudomonadota; Gammaproteobacteria; Enterobacterales; Enterobacteriaceae. The record is from RNAcentral.
CCGAAUGGGGAAACCCAGUGUGAUUCGUCACACUAUCAUUAACUGAAUCCAUAGGUUAAUGAGGCGAACCGGGGGAACUGAAACAUCUAAGUACCCCGAGGAAAAGAAAUCAACCGAGAUUCCCCCAGUAGCGGCGAGCGAACGGGGAGGAGCCCAGAGCCUGAAUCAGCAUGUGUGUUAGUGGAAGCGUCUGGAAAGGCGCGCGAUACAGGGUGACAGCCCCGUACACAAAAGCGCAUGUGCUGUGAGCUCGAUGAGUAGGGCGGGACACGUGGUAUCCUGUCUGAAUAUGGGGGGACCAUCCUCCAAGGCUAAAUACUCCUGACUGACCGAUAGUGAACCAGUACCGUGAGGGAAAGGCGAAAAGAACCCCGGCGAGGGGAGUGAAAAAGAACCUGAAACCGUGUACGUACAAGCAGUGGGAGCACCCUUCGGGGUGUGACUGCGUACCUUUUGUAUAAUGGGUCAGCGACUUAUAUUCUGUAGCAAGGUUAACCGUAUAGGGGAGCCGGAGGGAAACCGAGUCUUAAUUGGGCGUUAAGUUGCAGGGUAUAGACCCGAAACCCGGUGAUCUAGCCAUGGGCAGGUUGAAGGUUGGGUAACACUAACUGGAGGACCGAACCGACUAAUGUUGAAAAAUUAGCGGAUGACCUGUGGCUGGGGGUGAAAGGCCAAUCAAACCGGGAGAUAGCUGGUUCUCCCCGAAAGCUAUUUAGGUAGCGCCUCGUGAAUUCAUCUCCGGGGGUAGAGCACUGUUUCGGCUAGGGGGCCAUCCCGGCUUACCAACCCGAUGCAAACUGCGAAUACCGGAGAAUGUUAUCACGGGAGACACACGGCGGGUGCUAACGUCCGUCGUGAAGAGGGAAACAACCCAGACCGCCAGCUAAGGUCCCAAAGUCAUGGUUAAGUGGGAAACGAUGUGGGAAGGCCCAGACAGCCAGGAUGUUGGCUUAGAAGCAGCCAUCAUUUAAAGAAAGCGUAAUAGCUCACUGGUCGAGUCGGCCUGCGCGGAAGAUGUAACGGGGCUAAACCAUGCACCGAAGCUGCGGCAGCGAACGUAUCACCCAAGACAACUUUACGGAGUUGACGAUUGACGGAGCGAAGCGACGUCAAAGCGUUCAUUAAAGUCGAGUUGGCUUAGGGAUACGUUCGUUGGGUAGGGGAGCGUUCUGUAAGCCUGUGAAGGUGUGUCGUGAGGCAUGCUGGAGGUAUCAGAAGUGCGAAUGCUGACAUAAGUAACGAUAAAGCGGGUGAAAAGCCCGCUCGCCGGAAGACCAAGGGUUCCUGUCCAACGUUAAUCGGGGCAGGGUGAGUCGACCCCUAAGGCGAGGCCGAAAGGCGUAGUCGAUGGGAAACGGGUUAAUAUUCCCGUACUUGGUGUUACUGCGAAGGGGGGACGGAGAAGGCUAUGUUGGCCGGGCGACGGUUGUCCCGGUUUAAGCGUGUAGGUGUGUGUUCCAGGUAAAUCCGGUUCACUUUAACACUGAGGCGUGACGACGAGGCACUACGGUGCUGAAGCAACAAAUGCCCUGCUUCCAGGAAAAGCCUCUAAGCAUCAGGUAACAUCAAAUCGUACCCCAAACCGACACAGGUGGUCAGGUAGAGAAUACCAAGGCGCUUGAGAGAACUCGGGUGAAGGAACUAGGCAAAAUGGUGCCGUAACUUCGGGAGAAGGCACGCUGACACGUAGGUGAAGUGAUUUACUCAUGGAGCUGAAGUCAGUCGAAGAUACCAGCUGGCUGCAACUGUUUAUUAAAAACACAGCACUGUGCAAACACGAAAGUGGACGUAUACGGUGUGACGCCUGCCCGGUGCCGGAAGGUUAAUUGAUGGGGUCAGCGCAAGCGAAGCUCCUGAUCGAAGCCCCGGUAAACGGCGGCCGUAACUAUAACGGUCCUAAGGUAGCGAAAUUCCUUGUCGGGUAAGUUCCGACCUGCACGAAUGGCGUAAUGAUGGCCAGGCUGUCUCCACCCGAGACUCAGUGAAAUUGAACUCGCUGUGAAGAUGCAGUGUACCCGCGGCAAGACGGAAAGACCCCGUGAACCUUUACUAUAGCUUGACACUGAACAUUGAGCCUUGAUGUGUAGGAUAGGUGGGAGGCUUUGAAGUGUGGACGCCAGUCUGCAUGGAGCCGACCUUGAAAUACCACCCUUUAAUGUUUGAUGUUCUAACGUGGACCCGUUACCCGGGUUGCGGACAGUGUCUGGUGGGUAGUUUGACUGGGGCGGUCUCCUCCUAAAGAGUAACGGAGGAGCACGAAGGUUGGCUAAUCCUGGUCGGACAUCAGGAGGUUAGUGCAAUGGCAUAAGCCAGCUUGACUGCGAGCGUGACGGCGCGAGCAGGUGCGAAAGCAGGUCAUAGUGAUCCGGUGGUUCUGAAUGGAAGGGCCAUCGCUCAACGGAUAAAAGGUACUCCGGGGAUAACAGGCUGAUACCGCCCAAGAGUUCAUAUCGACGGCGGUGUUUGGCACCUCGAUGUCGGCUCAUCACAUCCUGGGGCUGAAGUAGGUCCCAAGGGUAUGGCUGUUCGCCAUUUAAAGUGGUACGCGAGCUGGGUUUAGAACGUCGUGAGACAGUUCGGUCCCUAUCUGCCGUGGGCGCUGGAGAACUGAGGGGGGCUGCUCCUAGUACGAGAGGACCGGAGUGGACGCAUCACUGGUGUUCGGGUUGUCAUGCCAAUGGCACUGCCCGGUAGCUAAAUGCGGAAGAGAUAAGUGCUGAAAGCAUCUAAGCACGAAACUUGCCCCGAGAUGAGUUCUCCCUGAGACUUAGAGUCUCCUGAAGGAACGUUGAAGACGACGACGUUGAUAGGCCGGGUGUGUAAGCGCAGCGAUGCGUUGAGCUAACCGGUACUAAUGAACCGUGAGGCUUAACCUUACAACGCCGAAG